RNAcentral lists this unclassified non-coding RNA (126 nucleotides) under uncultured Leotiomycetes. Its description in RNAcentral is "sequence contains ITS2". The record is from RNAcentral. Lineage: Eukaryota; Fungi; Ascomycota; Leotiomycetes.
UCUUAAGGCUCCGCCUUGCGUUGAGGUUUCCCGCGAGGGAACCCUCCAAACCCAUGGGCGUCUGUCGUGCCUGAACCGCAACACUCUGCGUGCAAGGGACUUCGGCAUGCGCCAGUCAACCGUCUA